This 443-nucleotide ribosomal RNA is filed under the name uncultured bacterium. RNAcentral describes it as "bacterial SSU rRNA". It matches the Rfam family "Bacterial small subunit ribosomal RNA", at positions 958 to 1398 of the family's 1533-position model. The record is from RNAcentral.
AACGCGAAGAACCUUACCUGGGUUUGACAUGUACUUGACAGUUGUAGAAAUACAAUCUUUUAGGCUUCGGUCUAAACGGGUACACAGGUGCUGCAUGGCUGUCGUCAGCUCGUGUCGUGAGAUGUUGGGUUAAGUCCUAUAACGAGCGCAACUCCUGCUGUCAGUUGCUACCAUUAAGUUGGGCACUCUGACGGGACUGCCCGGGAAACCGGGAGGAAGGUGGGAAUGACGUCAAGUCCUCAUGGCCCUUAUAUCCAGGGCGACACACGUGUUACAAUGGCCGAUACAAAGGGCUGCUAACUCGUAAGAGUAAGCUAAUCCUCAAAGUCGGUCUAAGUUCGGAUUGAGGUCUGAAAUUCGACCUCAUGAAGUUGAAAUCGCUAGUAAUUGCGCAUCAGAACGGCGCAGUGAAUACGUUCUCGGGCCUUGUACACACCGCUGUA